UACAGAGGGGGCAAGCGUUGUUCGGAAUUACUGGGCGUAAAGGGCGCGUAGGCGGCCUGCUAAGUCGAACGUGAAAUCCCCGGGCUCAACCCGGGAACUGCGUUCGAUACUGGCAGGCUUGAAUCCGGGAGAGGGAUGCGGAAUUCCAGGUGUAGCGGUGAAAUGCGUAGAUAUCUGGAGGAACACCGGUGGCGAGGGCGGCAUCCUGGACCGGGAUUGACACUGAGGCGCGAAAGCGUGGGGAGCAAACAGG
Molecule: ribosomal RNA, 253 nt
Filed under: uncultured bacterium
Lineage: Bacteria
Description: partial 16S ribosomal RNA
Rfam family: Bacterial small subunit ribosomal RNA
Source: RNAcentral